This 264-nucleotide long non-coding RNA is filed under the name Mytilus galloprovincialis (Mediterranean mussel). The record is from RNAcentral. Lineage: Eukaryota; Metazoa; Mollusca; Bivalvia; Mytilida; Mytilidae.
UUGUGUACUGGUCCCAGCUUUCAUAAUGAUGGUACGUCUGUUGGUGGUAGGAUUUCUUUUCUGUUAAAUAGCCGUAACUAUUGGUACGAUAUUUGUUCCAGUCUAUUGGAGUGGUUUGAAUUGAGAAUUAAUUGUGCUAUUGAAUCCGAUAGGUAUAAAUCACUUUCCUAAAUUUCUGAUGUUUUUUCUUUCUUUUCUGGGUAGGUCACUGAUGAUUUUCCGGAGAUAAUCCUAAAUGUAGGUUUCUUUGUACUGUCCCAUUUU